UCCCUGAUAGCUCAGUUGGUAAAGAAUCUGCCUGCAAUGCAGGAGACCUAGGUUUGAUCCCUGGGUUGGGAA
This 72-nucleotide transfer RNA is filed under the name Bos taurus (domestic cattle). It matches the Rfam family "tRNA". From Rfam's summary of the family: Transfer RNA (tRNA) molecules are approximately 80 nucleotides in length. Their secondary structure includes four short double-helical elements and three loops (D, anti-codon, and T loops). RNAcentral also lists the same sequence under 1 other name. The record is from Rfam by way of RNAcentral. Lineage: Eukaryota; Metazoa; Chordata; Mammalia; Artiodactyla; Bovidae.